UGCAGUCGAGCGGAUGACGGGAGCUUGCUCCUUGAUUCAGCGGCGGACGGGUGAGUAAUGCCUAGGAAUCUGCCUGGUAGUGGGGGACAACGUUUCGAAAGGAACGCUAAUACCGCAUACGUCCUACGGGAGAAAGCAGGGGACCUUCGGGCCUUGCGCUAUCAGAUGAGCCUAGGUCGGAUUAGCUAGUUGGUGGGGUAAUGGCUCACCAAGGCGACGAUCCGUAACUGGUCUGAGAGGAUGAUCAGUCACACUGGAACUGAGACACGGUCCAGACUCCUACGGGAGGCAGCAGUGGGGAAUAUUGGACAAUGGGCGAAAGCCUGAUCCAGCCAUGCCGCGUGUGUGAAGAAGGUCUUCGGAUUGUAAAGCACUUUAAGUUGGGAGGAAGGGCAGUAAGUUAAUACCUUGCUGUUUUGACGUUACCGACAGAAUAAGCACCGGCUAACUCUGUGCCAGCAGCCGCGGUAAUACAGAGGGUGCAAGCGUUAAUCGGAAUUACUGGGCGUAAAGCGCGCGUA
RNAcentral lists this ribosomal RNA (521 nucleotides) under Pseudomonas sp. 11.1. Its description in RNAcentral is "bacterial SSU rRNA". It matches the Rfam family "Bacterial small subunit ribosomal RNA", at positions 56 to 573 of the family's 1533-position model. The record is from RNAcentral. Lineage: Bacteria; Pseudomonadati; Pseudomonadota; Gammaproteobacteria; Pseudomonadales; Pseudomonadaceae.